CAUGGAGAGUUACGCUGAUCAGAGCUUAUAGUUUGUACACAGCUACUUUUGCAUAGGUACUAUUUAUGUACUAUUUAUGUACCACAAAUUUGUAGUACUGGAAAUCUGCUUUUAAUAUUCAGUACUAUUGUGUUAAUUACGAAUUAUUGUAAUAUUUAAGUACCUGUAUUUUACAGUACUUGAUUUGUACUUGAAAUUUAAGUACUACAUAUUUUUGGUUGCACGGUUACAUUUUCAGCAUUUUGAACGUUUGUCUUUUUCAAAUCUCACUAGAACACACCCGCGAAAUCGCGGGCAUUCAGACCGUAGUUUAAAGUAUGUAAAGUGUUGUUGGAAGAAUUUUGUAAAAUAUUGAAUGACUGGAGAAUUUCAGCAAAUGUAUCAUAAGUCAUAGGUUAUUGGGGACAGGAAAAUGUUUUUUUUUAUCCCUCCUUCUUCAUUUCCAAAAUUCCCAAUUUUUGGUUUUCUAUCAAUUUCAAUAUGAACAUACAUUUAGUAUGUUAUGACAUUUAGUAAGGAACCUGUAAUUCAGUGGUUGUCGUUUGUUUAUGUGUUACAUAUUUUUUUUUUCGUUCAUUUUUUGUACAUAAAUAUGGCCGCUAGUUUUCUCGUUUGAAUUGUUUUACAUCGUCAUUUCGGGGCCUUUAAAAGCUGAGUAUUCGGUAUGGGCUUUGCUCGUUGUUGAAGGCCGUUCGAUGACCUAUAGUUAUUAAUUUCUGUGUGUUUUGGUCUCUUGUGAGGUUGGUUCAACAUGGCAAUCAUACCACAUCUUUUUUUGUUGUUGUAAUAAAUGAAUUUUUGUAAAAGAUUUAAUGACUGGAGAUUUCAAAAAGUAUCAAAAGUUCAAUGAAUAAUUUUAGCGCCCUGUUAUAUUAUAACUUCAUGCAUAUAAAUAAAGUGUAUACUUUCAAUUCCAGUUUACUAAUCGAUCCAUGUAUAGUAACAACCCUCUCCAUUAAUAAUCUGUGACCGCCGUGGAUAGUAACUUGAAAUGAUAGCAGAUAGAUUAAAAUACACUUUAUUCGUAGUAUAUGUAUGUUCAAAGUUACAGAAAAAAACCGGAAUUCUAAUCUGACUUAAAAUUUCGUCCAUGACGGACAAUAUCCGGAUGCCUUUUUCUCGUUUUUCUCCAAAAUAACUCAAUCUGAAUAAUCAUAUAAAUGGAUGACAAAUGCGACUAUGCACUGUACCUAUAGAAACAGAGGCGUUUUGAUUAAUUUAUUGUGGAAAGAUGAGAAGCGACACCCAAAAUGAGGUCUUCUCGUUUAAUAGUAUAGAUGACGUUAUGAUGUUCAAAUAUGGAAUACUGUGAUCAUUGUUGGUAUCAUUUUUGUACCAAUAUUUUGAGUACAAAUCAAGUACUGGAAAAUACAAGUACCUAAAUAUUACAAUAAUUUUGAAGUAAAGAAAUAGUACUAAUUAUUACAAGUAAAUUUUCAGUACUACAAAUUUUAAGUACAGAAAUAGUACCUAUGCAAAAGUAGCUGUGUACGAAAUCACCGAACUGUCAAUAAACUGCCAUUUGGCCUGAAUCGAUAUUGAUAGACACGGACAGUUUAUAGAAGAGCGGGGUUGAGCCGGGACUCUUAGAAAAAAAAGGGACAGGAAUAAAUAGUGAUUAAUCCAGAAUGUGUCCACAGUACACGGAAGCCCCACUCGCACUAUCAUUUUCUAUGUUCAAUGGACCGUGAAAUUUGGGUAAAAACUCUUAAUUUGGUAUUAAAAUUGGAAAGAUCAUAUCAAAGGGAACAUUUGUACUAAGUUUCAAGUUGAUUUGACUUAAAUUUCACCAAAAACUACCUUGACCAAAAACUUUGACCUGAAGC
This 1826-nucleotide long non-coding RNA is filed under the name Mytilus galloprovincialis (Mediterranean mussel). The record is from RNAcentral. Lineage: Eukaryota; Metazoa; Mollusca; Bivalvia; Mytilida; Mytilidae.